CGGACGGGUGAGUAACGCGUGGGUAACCUGCCUCAUACAGGGGGAUAACAGUUAGAAAUGACUGCUAAUACCGCAUAAGACCACAGCACCGCAUGGUGCGGGGGUAAAAACUCCGGUGGUAUGAGAUGGACCCGCGUCUGAUUAGCUAGUUGGUAAGGUAACGGCUUACCAAGGCGACGAUCAGUAGCCGACCUGAGAGGGUGACCGGCCACAUUGGGACUGAGACACGGCCCAG
Molecule: ribosomal RNA, 235 nt
Filed under: uncultured bacterium
Lineage: Bacteria
Description: partial 16S ribosomal RNA
Rfam family: Bacterial small subunit ribosomal RNA
Source: RNAcentral